RNAcentral lists this ribosomal RNA (451 nucleotides) under uncultured bacterium. RNAcentral describes it as "bacterial SSU rRNA". It matches the Rfam family "Bacterial small subunit ribosomal RNA", at positions 15 to 507 of the family's 1533-position model. The record is from RNAcentral.
GAUCAUGGCUCAGGAUGAACGCUGGCGGUAUGCCUAACACAUGCAAGUCGUACGAGAGUUUUUAACUCUAGUGGCGGACGGGUGAGUAACACGUGAGAAUUUGCCUUUAGGAGGGGGAUAACAAUUGGAAACGAAUGCUAAUACCCCAUAUGCUUUUGAGUGAAACGGAUUUAUCCGCCUAGAGAGAAGCUCGCGGCUGAUUAGCUUGUUGGUAAGGUAAGAGCUUACCAAGGCGACGAUCAGUAUCUGGUUUGAGAGGACGAUCAGACACACUGGAACUGAGACACGGUCCAGACUCCUACGGGAGGCAGCAGUGGGGAAUUUUCCGCAAUGGGCGAAAGCCUGACGGAGCAAUACCGCGUGAGGGAAGACUGCCUAUGGGUUGUAAACCUCUUUUUCAGGGAGGAAUAAAUGACGUGUACCUGAAGAAUAAGCAUCGGCUAACUCCGUG